RNAcentral lists this long non-coding RNA (234 nucleotides) under Nicotiana benthamiana. Its description in RNAcentral is "long non-coding RNA (NBEN_LNC028846)". Lineage: Eukaryota; Viridiplantae; Streptophyta; Magnoliopsida; Solanales; Solanaceae. The record is from RNAcentral.
UAAUAAAUUAAGGUUCUAUUCAACAUGGAACAAAGGGGAAAAUAUACAGGAUGGGUAGAAAGAGGUGUGAUACUUGGCUUGAUUCAGGGAAACUACAAACUACAGGAUAGACAAGAAUAUACCAAUCCUAAGGAUCCGUAGGAUUAAUUGUGGAUCCAAGACAACAAUUGAAAGAUUUGAGUCUUAGAUUUUGAUUUAGUUUUCUAGAUUUUGUAUUUCAAAUCUUGUAUAUCU